Molecule: transfer RNA, 67 nt
Filed under: Crocidura beata (Mindanao shrew)
Lineage: Eukaryota; Metazoa; Chordata; Mammalia; Eulipotyphla; Soricidae
Description: tRNA-Val
Rfam family: tRNA
About the family: Transfer RNA (tRNA) molecules are approximately 80 nucleotides in length. Their secondary structure includes four short double-helical elements and three loops (D, anti-codon, and T loops).
Source: RNAcentral
CAAAAUGUAGCUUAAUCAAAGCACCUGACUUACACUCAGGAGAUUCCACACUUCGUGGCCGUUUUGA